UACGUAGGGCGCAAGCGUUGUCCGGAAUCAUUGGGCGUAAAGAGCUCGUAGGUGGUCUGUUACGUCUGCUGUGAAAUCCUAGGGCUUAACCCUGGGCCUGCAGUGGAUACGGGCAGACUAGAGGUAGGUAGGGGAGAAUGGAAUUCCAGGUGUAGCGGUGAAAUGCGUAGAUAUCUGGAGGAAUACCGGUGGCGAAGGCGGCAUCCUGGACCGACAUUGACGCUGAACGGCGAAAGCUAGGGGAGCAAACGGG
Molecule: ribosomal RNA, 253 nt
Filed under: uncultured bacterium
Lineage: Bacteria
Description: partial 16S ribosomal RNA
Rfam family: Bacterial small subunit ribosomal RNA
Source: RNAcentral